CGAAAGCCUGACGGAGCAAUACCGCGUGAGGGAGGAAGGCUCUUGGGUUGUAAACCUCUUUUCUCAGGGAAGAAGUUCUGACGGUACCUGAGGAAUAAGCAUCGGCUAACUCCGUGCCAGCAGCCGCGGUAAUACGGAGGAUGCAAGCGUUAUCCGGAAUUAUUGGGCGUAAAGCGUCCGCAGGUGGUUACUCAAGUCUGCUGUCAAAGACCGGAGCUUAACUCUGGAAAGGCGGUGGAAACUGAGAAACUAGAGUUCGGUAGGGGUAGCGGGAAUUCCCAGUGUAGCGGUGAAAUGCGUAGAUAUUGGGAAGAACAUCGGUGGCGAAGGCGCGCUACUGGGCCGGAACUGACACUCAGGGACGAAAGCUAGGGGAGCG
Molecule: ribosomal RNA, 379 nt
Filed under: uncultured cyanobacterium
Lineage: Bacteria; Bacillati; Cyanobacteriota
Description: SSU rRNA
Rfam family: Bacterial small subunit ribosomal RNA
Source: RNAcentral